AACCUUUACAAUGCACGCAAGUGUGAUAAGGGAAUCCCAAGUGCUCAAGCAUUGCUUGGGCUUUUGCUAUGUGUAAACAGCAUGGCGAAUAAGUGGUGGGAAAGACUGGUGCCAGCCGCCGCGGUAACACCAGCGCCACGAGUGGCAAUCACGUUUAUUGGGCCUAAAGCGUCCGUAGCAGGUUUCGUAAAUCUCUUGUGAAAUUGCCAAGCCUAACUUGGCAGACUGCAGGGGACACUGCGAGACUCGAGACCGGGAGGGGUUAGAAGUAUUCCUUAGGGAGCGGUAAAAUGCUAUAAUCUAAGGAGGACUACCUGUGGCGAAGGCGUCUAACUAGAACGGAUCUGACUGUGAGGGACGAAAGCUAGGGGAGCGAACCGGAUUAGAUACCCGAGUAGUCCUAGCCGUAAACGCUGUGAGCUAGGUGUCGCGUAUUCUACGUGAAUGCGCGGUGUCGAAAGGAAGCUAUUAAGCUCACCGCCUGGGAAGUACGGUCGCAAGACUGAAACUUUAAGGAAUUGGCGGGGGAGCAC
This 533-nucleotide ribosomal RNA is filed under the name uncultured archaeon. Its description in RNAcentral is "bacterial SSU rRNA". It matches the Rfam family "Archaeal small subunit ribosomal RNA", at positions 345 to 879 of the family's 1478-position model. The record is from RNAcentral.